Molecule: ribosomal RNA, 626 nt
Filed under: uncultured bacterium
Lineage: Bacteria
Description: bacterial SSU rRNA
Rfam family: Bacterial small subunit ribosomal RNA
Source: RNAcentral
AGUCGAACGGGCACUUUCGGGUGCUAGUGGCAGACGGGUGAGUAACACGUGGGAACGUACCCUUUGGUUCGGGACAACUCUGGGAAACUGGAGCUAAUACCGGAUACGCCCUUUUGGGGAAAGGUUUACUGCCGAAGGAUCGGCCCGCGUCUGAUUAGCUAGUUGGUGGGGUAACGGCCUACCAAGGCGACGAUCAGUAGCUGGUCUGAGAGGAUGAUCAGCCACACUGGGACUGAGACACGGCCCAGACUCCUACGGGAGGCAGCAGUGGGGAAUAUUGGACAAUGGGCGCAAGCCUGAUCCAGCCAUGCCGCGUGAGUGAUGAAGGCCUUAGGGUUGUAAAGCUCUUUUAUCCGGGACGAUAAUGACGGUACCGGAGGAAUAAGCCCCGGCUAACUUCGUGCCAGCAGCCGUGGUAAUACGAAGGGGGCUAGCGUUGCUCGGAAUCACUGGGCGUAAAGGGCGCGUAGGCGGCGUUUUAAGUCGGGGGUGAAAGCCUGUGGCUCAACCACAGAAUGGCCUUCGAUACUGGGACGCUUGAGUCUGGUAGAGGUUGGUGGAACUGCGAGUGUAGAGGUGAAAUUCGUAGAUAUUCGCAAGAACACCGGUGGCGAAGGCGGCCAACU